GGCAAGAUGGCCGAGCGGUCUAAGGCGCUGUGUUCAGGUCCCUCUCCGAUCUCCAUCGGAGCUGAUUCCAAUUCGCAGUCUUCGGGCGUGGGUUCGAAUCCCACUCUUGUCA
Transfer RNA from Trichosporon asahii var. asahii CBS 8904, 112 nucleotides. It matches the Rfam family "tRNA". From Rfam's summary of the family: Transfer RNA (tRNA) molecules are approximately 80 nucleotides in length. Their secondary structure includes four short double-helical elements and three loops (D, anti-codon, and T loops). Further hydrogen bonds mediate the characteristic L-shaped molecular structure. tRNAs have two regions of fundamental functional importance: the anti-codon, which is responsible for specific mRNA codon recognition, and the 3' end, to which the tRNAs corresponding amino acid is attached (by aminoacyl-tRNA synthetases). tRNAs cope with the degeneracy of the genetic code in two manners: having more than one tRNA (with a specific anti-codon) for a particular amino acid; and 'wobble' base-pairing, i.e. permitting non-standard base-pairing at the 3rd anti-codon position. The record is from Rfam. NCBI's taxonomy places the organism in Eukaryota, Fungi, Basidiomycota, Tremellomycetes, Trichosporonales, Trichosporonaceae.